RNAcentral lists this long non-coding RNA (222 nucleotides) under Elaeis guineensis (African oil palm). RNAcentral describes it as "long non-coding RNA (EGUI_LNC002522)". Lineage: Eukaryota; Viridiplantae; Streptophyta; Magnoliopsida; Arecales; Arecaceae. The record is from RNAcentral.
CCGACUCAGAGAGAGAUUUCUACACUCACUUAUAGAUAAAAUAAAUUAUAUUAUGAAUAUUUAAUUUAUACAGUAUUCUUCUAAUAUUUAUUAUUGAUAGGGUAUAUUCGACAUCAUUGAUUUUAAGGAGGAUCGUGUGAGGUGAGCCGUGGACACUCAUUUAUCAUUGCGUUUUAAAGAUAAUCACCAUCAUAUACAUCAACAUUGGUACUAUAUGAUGCA